Molecule: ribosomal RNA, 413 nt
Filed under: uncultured bacterium
Lineage: Bacteria
Description: bacterial SSU rRNA
Rfam family: Bacterial small subunit ribosomal RNA
Source: RNAcentral
GGGCCCGCACAAGCGGUGGAGCAUGUGGUUUAAUUCGAUGAUACGCGAGGAACCUUACCAGGGCUUAAAUGUAGUGGGACAGGUCUAGAGAUAGACCCUUCUUCGGACUCAUUACAAGGUGCUGCAUGGUUGUCGUCAGCUCGUGCCGUGAGGUGUCAGGUUAAGUCCUAUAACGAGCGCAACCCCUAUCGUUAGUUGCCAGCGAGUAUUGUCGGGAACUCUAACGAAACUGCCAGUGCAAACUGUGAGGAAGGUGGGGAUGACGUCAAAUCAUCACGGCCCUUACGUCCUGGGCUACACACGUGCUACAAUGGCCGGUACAGAGAGCAGCCACUUCGCAAGAAGGAGCGAAUCUACAAAACCUAUCUCAGUUCGGAUCGAAGUCUGCAACUCGACUUCGUGAAGUUGGAAUC